Molecule: ribosomal RNA, 370 nt
Filed under: uncultured organism
Description: bacterial SSU rRNA
Rfam family: Bacterial small subunit ribosomal RNA
Source: RNAcentral
CGUAGGGUGCGAGCGUUAAUCGGAAUUACUGGGCGUAAAGCGUGCGCAGGCGGUGAUGUAAGACAGAUGUGAAAUCCCCGGGCUCAACCUGGGAACUGCAUUUGUGACUGCAUCGCUGGAGUGCGGCAGAGGGGGAUGGAAUUCCGCGUGUAGCAGUGAAAUGCGUAGAUAUGCGGAGGAACACCGAUGGCGAAGGCAAUCCCCUGGGCCUGCACUGACGCUCAUGCACGAAAGCGUGGGGAGCAAACAGGAUUAGAUACCCUGGUAGUCCACGCCCUAAACGAUGUCAACUGGUUGUUGGUCCUUCACUGGAUCAGUAACGAAGCUAACGCGUGAAGUUGACCGCCUGGGGAGUACGGCCGCAAGGUUG